GAUGAACGCUGGCGGCGUGCCUAAUACAUGCAAGUCGAGCGAACAGACGAGGAGCUUGCUCCUCUUACGUUAGCGGCGGACGGGUGAGUAACACGUGGAUAACCUACCUAUAAGACUGGGAUAACUUCGGGAAACCGGAGCUAAUACCGUAUAAUAUAUUGAACCGCAUGGUUCAAUAGUUAAAGACGGUUUUGCUGUCACUUAUAGAUGGAUCCGCGCCGCAUUAGCUAGUUGGUAAGGUAACGGCUUACCAAGGCAACGAUGCGUAGCCGACCUGAGAGGGUGAUCGGCCACACUGGAACUGAGACACGGUCCAGACUCCUACGGGAGGCAGCAGUAGGGAAUCUUCCGCAAUGGGCGAAAGCCUGACGGAGCAACGCCGCGUGAGUGAUGAAGGUCUUCGGAUCGUAAAACUCUGUUAUUAGGGAAGAACAAAUGUGUAAGUAACUAUGCACGUAUUGACGGUACCUAAUCAGAAAGCCACGGCUAACUACGUG
RNAcentral lists this ribosomal RNA (497 nucleotides) under uncultured bacterium. RNAcentral's name for it is "partial 16S ribosomal RNA". It matches the Rfam family "Bacterial small subunit ribosomal RNA", at positions 28 to 507 of the family's 1533-position model. The record is from RNAcentral.